AUUUUUAAGAUUUUCUAUUUUUUUAAGAGAAUAAAAAAGUUAAAUUUUAAAUGACACAUGUAAACAUCUGAUCGUUUGACUUGACACGUGGCACGGUCCUAUGAGUUAAAAACUUUGAAAACCAUACUUUAUAUAAUAAGAUUCUAUUUUUU
RNAcentral lists this small RNA (152 nucleotides) under Arabidopsis thaliana (thale cress). RNAcentral describes it as "ATSL144770". Lineage: Eukaryota; Viridiplantae; Streptophyta; Magnoliopsida; Brassicales; Brassicaceae. The record is from RNAcentral.